GCUGGCGGCGUGCCUAAAUACAUGCAAGUCGAGCGAGCGGAACUAACAGAUUUACUUCGGUAAUGACGUUAGGAAAGCGAGCGGCGGAUGGGUGAGUAAACACGUGGGGAACCCUGCCCAUAGGUCUGGGGAUACCACUUGGAAACAGGUGCUAAUACCGGAUAAGAAAGCAGAUCGCAUGAUCAAACUUUUAAAAAGGCGGCGUAAGCUGUCGCUAUGGGAUGGCCCCGCGGUGCAUUAGUUAGUUGGUAAGGUAAAGGCUUACCAAGGCGAUGAUGCAUAGCCGAGUUGAGAGACUGAUCGGCCACAUUGGGACUGAGACACGGCCCAAACUCCUACGGGAGGCAGCAGUAGGGAAAUCUUCCACAAUGGACGCAAGUCUGAUGGAGCAACGCCGCGUGAGUGAAGAAGGUUUUCGGAUCGUAAAGCUCUGUUGUUGGUGAAGAAGGAUAGAGGUAGUAACUGGCCUUUAUUUGACGGUAAUCAACCAGAAAGUCACGGCUAACUACGUGCCAGCAGCCGCGGUAAU
RNAcentral lists this ribosomal RNA (529 nucleotides) under uncultured Lactobacillus sp. Its description in RNAcentral is "bacterial SSU rRNA". It matches the Rfam family "Bacterial small subunit ribosomal RNA", at positions 35 to 524 of the family's 1533-position model. The record is from RNAcentral. Lineage: Bacteria; Bacillati; Bacillota; Bacilli; Lactobacillales; Lactobacillaceae.